Rhea pennata is the source of this 584-nucleotide long non-coding RNA. RefSeq lists it as uncharacterized. Lineage: Eukaryota; Metazoa; Chordata; Aves; Rheiformes; Rheidae. The transcript is spliced from 6 exons. The record is from RefSeq and is a predicted model, not a curated record.
AGUUUAUCCAAGAAAGAAGACACAAAGGAAAAUAUAAUGGUCCACAACCUCUCUAGCAGUAAACCAAACUAAUACAAGGGCAAAAAUGAUCUAAUUCUGGCUUAGAUAAAUUAUAUCUCUAACUCUGUCAACCAUGAGAGAUUGAAAAAAGCAUAACCGAGAUAUGUGAGUGCCAUGAAAUUCUGAACAACUUGCCUCCUAGAAAGGUGACCUUCAGUGGAAGCUUCCUAAUUGCUUGCAAAGACACAGAUUGUCUGAAUCGUUCUGUCAAUAACGCUGCCCUACUCCAGGGCACCAGGGUGCCGACAGCCUGCCUGGCACUCCGUGGCUCUGAGGGAAGCGCACAGGAUGCACCCAUGUCAAGCACUCUGAGAUCUACUUGCAAUUCCUUGGAGUCUCUAGACUUCUAUACAGAAGAAAAAUAGAAGGACUUCUGACAUUAGAAAAGUCUAUGCAAAUGAAUCCUGAAUAAUGAGAUGGAAGGAUUCAAGUACCUCUUCAGAGAUGCUGGAAGUCCUGAGCUGACACUGGAAACAACGUAUCUCAAGGACUUUCAGAAUUGGCCAAGCAUGUUUUGCACCUUA